GCUACACUUGAUAAUGCUUCUUUUUUGUUGUUGUUUUUUGUUUUUAUUUAGGGCCGCACUGGCGGCAUAUGGAGGUUCCCAGGCCAGGAGUCCAAUUGGAGCUGUAGCCAAUGGCCUAUGCCACAGCCGCCGCCACAGCAACAUGAGCACUGAGCUGUGUCUUCGACCUACACCACAGCGCACGGCAAUGCCAAUCCUUAACCCAUUGAGUAGGGCCAGGGAUUGAACCUGCAUCCUCAUGGAUACAGUUGGGUUCAUUACCGCUAAGCCACAACAGUAAUUUCAAAAAUACUUCCUUAAAAAAAAUUUUUUUUUAUUUCUUGAUAAUUUGCUUCUUGAUUAAUUGAUUGAAGUAUAGUUGAUUUUCAAUGCUGUCUUAAUUUCUGCUGUACAGAAAAGUGAUUCAUGCUUUUAAAAACAUUCUUUUCCAUUACGAUUUAUCAUAGGACAUCAAAUAUAGUUCUCUGUGAUAUGCAGUAGAACCUUGUUAUUUAUCCAUUCUAUACAUAAGAGCUUACAUCUGCUAACCCCAACCUCCCACUCUAUCCCUUCCCCAACUCCUUCCCCUUAGGCAACCACAUGUCUGUUCUCCUUAUCCGUGAGUAUAGAUAAUAGCGCUCUUUAAAUGAUUUUUUAAUGGCCAUGACCACAGCAUAUGAAAGUUCUCCGGCCAGGGACUGAAGCUGAGUCUCAGCUGUGACUUACGCCACAGCUGCUGCAACAUCAGAUCCUUUAACCCAGUGCAUGGUGCUGGGAAUCAAACUCUCGCCUCUACAGCCACCACCACAGCUGCUGCAGUUGAAUUCUUAACUCACUGUGACACAGCAGGAACUCCUAAAUGAAUUUUUUAUAUUUGUCCUAUUUUAAGUAAAACACUAGAGUAACACUGGCAGGCAGAUAUGUUAUAAAAAUCCAAAAAUGAGAGAAAGAUGGUAAAUCUUGCCUCCUCCUUGUGCAGAUUUGCAGUAGGUUCCAGAGAGAUGUCCGUUCAUACAGACUGCAUAAUCACCUUUAAAGUAUCUAUUCAGGAGUAUUUUUCUUAAUGUGUUACCCUAAUAAAAAGGAUAAGAAAAAUGUUAGUUAUCAUUUCUUUUUCUAGUAAAAGAAAAAAACUAAUACAUUAAAGUGCCACCCAAAAUGCAUUUUAUCAACAACAUUGAGACACUGAAAAACUAAUUUUAUACUGAAAAAUAUUUUCUGAUGCAAAAAUUUGCAAAUAUUUCCCAUGAAAAUAAUAUUUUUUCUUCUCCCAGAAAUAAAGAAUAAAAUACAGUAUUUUCAAUAGAAUGUACUAGGAAAAUCACAAACACUAUAAAUUCAAAAUUUCUUCAAAAAAAAAAAGCUGAGGGUUCCAAUGUUGGUAAGGGUAAUUAUAGUGCCUAAAGAAAACACAGAUUAAUAAAUCCCUAAAAACUAGAAAGUAAAAGCCUUAGUUAGAGGGGCUCACUGAAAAGAGCUAGAAAAGUGCUAGGGAUACAGCAAGUGCUCAAAAAAUUAAACUUGAUCAGAGAGAAUUAUAUUUAAACUCCAAGAGCUUUAUUCAGAAGACAGUGGGUAAAAGAUAGUGUAUAAAACAUGUAAUUCAAAAAUUCCUGUCUUUCAAUUUUAUAUUGAUUACAAGCCAUUUUUAAAAUAAUACAUUUUACAAUAUAGUCAGUUGUUUAUACACAGAAAUAUAGUUAAUUCCAAAUCUUCCAUUUUAUUCGUUAUGAUUUUAAUAGACAAAAGUAAUUUUUAAGGUAUUAUUUAAAGACUAUUCAUUUAAACUAUUUAAAUUUACAUCACACAUCUACCAAGGUAAGGAAACUGUGGUCCAAGAGUUUAUGCAAUUGGCUACAGAUUCUGUGGGUAACAGGUGGUAGAGUAAGACCUAAACUCAACUUUUUUAAAAAAAAAAGUUCUGUGUAUUUUUCAUUGAAGUAUAGUUGAUUUGCAUUGUUGUGUUAGUUUCAGAUCUACAGCAAAGUGAUUCAGUUACACACACCACACACAUACAAUUUUUCAGAUUCUUUUCCCCUAGAGGUUAUUGCUAAAUAUUGAGUAUAGUUCCCUAUGCAAUACAGUAGGUCCUGUUGCUUAUCUAUUUUAUAUACAGUAGUGUGUAUCUGUUAAUCUCAUCCUCCUAAUUUAUCCCUACCCACUUCUCUCCUUUGGUAACCACACGUUUGUUUUCUAUGAGUGUAGUUUUAUUUUGUAAAUAAGUUUAUUUGUAACAUUUUUUUAAAAAAUUCCACAUAGAAGCAAUAUUGUAUGAUAUUUGUCUUUUCUCUGUCUGGCUUACUUAGUAUGAUAAUCUCUAGGUCCAUCUAUGUGGCUGCAAAUGGCACUAUUUCAUUCUUUUUUAUGGCUGAGUAACAUUCCAUUGCAUAUAUGUACCGUAUCUUCUUUAUCCAAUCAUCUGUUGAUGGACAUUUAGGAAUAGAUUAAGAAGAUGUGUUAUUAUAUAUAACACAAUGUUAGCCAUAAGAAAGAAUGAAAUAAUGCCAUUUGCAACAACAUGGAUGGACCUAGGAUUAUCAAACCAAGUGAAAUGAGUUAGAAAUAGAAAGAUAAAUACCAUUAUGAUGUCACUAAUAUGUGGAAUCUGAAAUAUGACACAAAUCAACAUAUCCAUGAAACAAAAACAGACUCACAGAGAACAGACUUGUGGUUGCUAAGAAGGAGGGGGGUGGGGGAGAAGGAUUGGAAGUUUUUGAUUAGCAGAGGAAAAUUAUUAUAUAUGGAAUGAAUAAACAACAUUGUAUAGUGCAGGGAACUAUAUUCAAUAUCCUGUGAUAAACCAUAAUAGAAAAAGAAUACGAAAAAGAAUGUAUAUAUACAUACAUAUGUGUGUAUAACUUUAUAGCAGAAAAUUAACACAACACUAUAAAUCAACUACACUUCAAUAAAUUUUUUUUUAAAAUUAAAAAGUUAAAAAUACCCUUUAUAUGACUCAAAGAGUAAAGUCAUAGAAUAGAAGUGUUUAAAAUAAGCAUAGUAUUUGACAUUAUUCAUAAAUUCUCUUUAGGCAGAUAAAUUUGCAAGUUCUUAUCAGAUUCAUAAACAUCAAAAUCAAAUGAGCAACACUCUUUUUAUCCAAUUCAGGCCUAGUUAGACACAUAUAUUUUCCAACUAUGUGAUAUUCAGAAUGCCACGAAAGGGUACAGGGCUCCCUAUAUCUCUGUUCUCAACUCUUGAGUUACACUCUCUGCACAUAUCUUAAGCAAGUUACUUCACUACCCUGUGAAGUUCCAUGGUAGUGAAGAGUCCCAUAAUUGUCAAAUGGAAUAGUUAUAACACCCUCACAGGAUUUCAGUGAUGAUUAAAUGCGUAAAAUUAUGUAAAGUACUUAGAACGCUUCCUGGCACAUAGUAAGUGCUAUAGAAGAUGUGUAUAGUUGAUACUAUUGUUACCAGUGUUAUUAUUAUUCAGUUCACAGAACAAUGUAUGAUUUACAAGGUGAUUUUGUACAUACUUUCUCACUUUAUACCAAACCAUCCCAUGUCCCAAGAAAAUGGCAAAAAUAAUAAAUGAUAAAGUGCCUAAAAAUCUUCAUUCGUCCACCAUUACUCAGUCCUUGGAAGUACAUACUUGGGAGCUAAUCUGCAUAUUUUACACUGCUUAAAAUAGACCUUCCACCUUCAACUAAAGGGGAAAACCUUUUACCUAGGUUCAAACUCCAUAGUUUUCAAAAAAGGCAAACUUUGGUGUUAAACAGGAGUGAAGACAAAGCACAGAUGGAAGAGGAUUCUGUUCUGUGUGUCUUAAUCAUCCUUCUUUAAGAAUGGAAAACUUGGAGUUCCUGUCAUGAUGCAGUGGUUAACGAAUCCGUCUAGGAACCAUGAGGUUGCGGGUUCCAUCCCUGCCCUUGCUCAGUGGGUUAACGAUCCGGUGUUGCCGUGAGCUGUGGUGUAGGUCACAGACACAGCUCAGAUCCCAUGUUGCUGUGGCUCUGGCGUAGGCUGGCAGCUACAGCUCCGAUUAGACCCCUAGCCUGGGAACCUCCAUAUGGCGUGGGAGUGGCCCAAGAAAUGGCAAAAAGACAAAAAAAAAAAAAAAGAAUGGAAAACUUCAGGUACUGCUACAUCAUGAGUUUAGCAGAAUUGAUUUCUGCUGUCAAACACCAAGUUCUGACCUGAGGAAUGAGAAGCCAGUAUUACGUCCCAACCUGCCUGGGAGCAUUCCUGGUGGCCUGUGAUCUGUGAUGGGUUACCGUGGUGAUAGUUCAGAUACAAGUCAUUUCCACAAAUUCCUUUAACUCCAAAAAAGUAACUGUAGAACCUUGGUCAGAAAUUCUGGUGCCAGGGUUAUAAAUAACAAUCUCAGAGCAAUAAUUGCCAUGGCAGAAACUUGGGAAAGAACUAAACACACAUUUUGAAAAGAAUUCUACAACAACUGAGAAGGUCAACUUCUGUGCUCGCUCUUUGAUUCCAAAAUGAAUUCCUGACUGUGCUUCCCAGGGAAGGUGUCUUUGUUGGAUUGGGUCAAGUAGCAAGGAAGGUCCUUCUUAGUCUUUUCAAUAUCAGAGUC
Molecule: long non-coding RNA, 4509 nt
Filed under: Sus scrofa (pig)
Lineage: Eukaryota; Metazoa; Chordata; Mammalia; Artiodactyla; Suidae
Description: lncRNA (ENSSSCG00055007552.1)
Source: RNAcentral